GAUUAACGCUGGCGGCGUGCAUAACACAUGCAAGUCGAACGAUGAAACUUAACUGAUUUCUUCGGAAUGAUUUUAAGUGGAUUAGUGGCGGACGGGUGAGUAACGCGUUAGUAACCUGCCUUGGAGAAGGGGAUAGCCUUUGGAAACGAAGAAUAAUACCCUAUGAUAUGAUAAUAUCUCAUGAUAUUAUCAUCAAAGAUUUAUCGCUCUAAGAUGGACUUGCGUCUGAUUAGUUAGUUGGUGAGGUAGCAGCUCACCAAGGCAGCGAUCAGUAGCCGGAGUGAGAGAGUGUACGACCACAUUGGGACAGGGACAAGGCCCAGACUCCUACGAGAGGCAGCAGUGGGGAAUUAUGCACAAUGGGGGAGACCCUGAUGCAGCGACGCCGCGAGAUUGAGAAGGCCGUCGGGUAGUAAAGAUCUUUUGUAUGAGAAGAAAAUGACGGUACCAGACGAAUAAGGACCGGCUAAUUACGUG
This 477-nucleotide ribosomal RNA is filed under the name uncultured bacterium. RNAcentral describes it as "partial 16S ribosomal RNA". It matches the Rfam family "Bacterial small subunit ribosomal RNA", at positions 28 to 507 of the family's 1533-position model. The record is from RNAcentral.